ACGCUGGCGGCGUGCCUAAUACAUGCAAGUCGAACGGACAAGUAAGAGCUAGCUCUUAUGAGUUAGUGGCGCACGGGUGAGUAAUGUAUAGCUAAUCUGCCCUACACUAGAGGACAACAGUUGGAAACGACUGCUAAUACUCUAUACUCCUCUCUAGCAUAAGUUAGAUAGGGAAAGUUUUUCGGUGUAGGAUGAGGCUAUAUUGUAUCAGCUAGUUGGUGAGGUAAUGGCUCACCAAGGCUAUGACGCAUAACUGGUCUGAGAGGAUGAUCAGUCACACUGGAACUGAGACACGGUCCAGACUCCUACGGGAGGCAGCAGUAGGGAAUAUUGCUCAAUGGGGGAAACCCUGAAGCAGCAACGCCGCGUGGAGGAUGACACUUUUCGGAGCGUAAACUCCUUUUGUUAGGGAAGAACAAUGACGGUACCUAACGAAUAAGCACCGGCUAACUCCGUGCCAGCAGCCGCGGUAAUACGGAGGGUGCAAGCGUUACUCGGAAUCACUGGGCGUAAAGGACGCGUAGGCGGAUUAUCAAGUCUCUUGUGAAAUCCUAUGGCUUAACCAUAGAACUGCUUGGGAAACUGAUAAUCUAGAGUGAGGGAGAGGCAGAUGGAAUUGGUGGUGUAGGGGUAAAAUCCGUAGAGAUCACCAGGAAUACCCAUUGCGAAGGCGAUCUGCUGGAACUCAACUGACGCUAAUGCGUGAAAGCGUGGGGAGCAAACAGGAUUAGAUACCCUGGUAGUCCACGCCCUAAACGAUGUAUACUAGUUGUUGCUAAGCUAGUCUUGGCAGUAAUGCACCUAACGGAUUAAGUAUACCGCCUGGGGAGUACGGUCGCAAGAUUAAAACUCAAAGGAAUAGACGGGGACCCGCACAAGCGGUGGAGCAUGUGGUUUAAUU
This 901-nucleotide ribosomal RNA is filed under the name uncultured bacterium. Its description in RNAcentral is "bacterial SSU rRNA". It matches the Rfam family "Bacterial small subunit ribosomal RNA", at positions 33 to 951 of the family's 1533-position model. The record is from RNAcentral.